AUUGAACGCUGGCGGCAUGCCUUACACAUGCAAGUCGAACGGCAGCACGGGAGCAAUCCUGGUGGCGAGUGGCGAACGGGUGAGUAAUAUAUCGGAACGUGCCCGGUCGUGGGGAUAACGUAGCGAAAGCUACGCUAAUACCGCAUACGAUCUACGGAUGAAAGCGGGGGAUCGCAAGACCUCGCGCGAUUGGAGCGGCCGAUAUCAGAUUAGGUAGUUGGUGAGGUAAAGGCUCACCAAGCCGACGAUCUGUAGCUGGUCUGAGAGGACGACCAGCCACACUGGGACUGAGACACGGCCCAGACUCCUACGGGAGGCAGCAGUGGGGAAUAUUGGACAAUGGGCGCAAGCCUGAUCCAGCAAUGCCGCGUGAGUGAUGAAGGCC
This 385-nucleotide ribosomal RNA is filed under the name uncultured bacterium. RNAcentral describes it as "bacterial SSU rRNA". It matches the Rfam family "Bacterial small subunit ribosomal RNA", at positions 29 to 416 of the family's 1533-position model. The record is from RNAcentral.